RNAcentral lists this ribosomal RNA (468 nucleotides) under uncultured bacterium. RNAcentral describes it as "partial 16S ribosomal RNA". It matches the Rfam family "Bacterial small subunit ribosomal RNA", at positions 28 to 507 of the family's 1533-position model. The record is from RNAcentral.
GACGAACGCUGGCGGCGUGCUUAACACAUGCAAGUCGAACGGAAAGGCCCUGCUUUUGUGGGGUGCUCGAGUGGCGAACGGGUGAGUAACACGUGCGUAACCUGCCCUUGACUUUGGGAUAACUUCAGGAAACUGGGGCUACUACCGGAUAGGAGCUCCUGCUGCAUGAUGGGGGUUGGAAAGUGUCGGCGGUUGGGGAUGGACUCGAGGCUUAUCAGCUUGUUGGUGGGGUAGUGGAUUACCAAGGCUUUGACGGGUAGCCGGCCUUAGAGGGUGACCGGCCACAUUGGGACUGAGAGACGGCCCAGUAUGCAACCGGAGGCAGCGGUGGAGAAUAUUGCACAAUGGGCGGAAGCCUGAGGCAGCAACGCCGCGUGCGGGAUGACGGGCUUCGGGUUGUGAACCGCUUUCGCCUGUGACGAAGCGUGAGUGACGGUAAUGAGUAAAGAAGCACCGGCUAACUACGUG